RNAcentral lists this small nucleolar RNA (129 nucleotides) under Antrostomus carolinensis (chuck-will's-widow). The record is from RNAcentral. Lineage: Eukaryota; Metazoa; Chordata; Aves; Caprimulgiformes; Caprimulgidae.
UUGGCCCUAAAUCAAGGCCAUCGGUUUGCUGUAGCCGUUGGUUUCAAGCAGGAGCCCAGAGGAAACAUCUCCCGGUCUGUUGGUGUUCCCAUCCCCAUGGAACAGCCAAUUCGUGUGGGAGCAACAAGA